UAACAAGCUCAGGUUUUUGAAAAGGAUAAAAUCUGAGGUCAGGAGUUUGAGACCAACCUGGCCAACAUGGCAAAACCCCAUCUCUACUAAAAGAUAUACAAAUUAGCUGGGCAUGGUGGCACACGCCUGUAAUCCAGCUACUCGGGAGGCUGAAGCACAAGAAUUGCUUGAACCCGGGAGACAGACGUUGCCGUGAGCCGAAAUCACACCACUGUGCUCUAGCCUGGGUGACAGAGUGAGACUCUGUCUCAAAAAGAAGAAAAGGAUAAAAUGGCAGGUACCCAUCCUUGGCACCCCUAUACCUGAGCCUGCCCUCAUCUGACCCUCUCUUCUUCACCAGCCCCAUCGCAAGUAUACCCAGCUUUAUCCUCCACAUCAGGGGCUGAG
Molecule: long non-coding RNA, 387 nt
Filed under: Homo sapiens (human)
Lineage: Eukaryota; Metazoa; Chordata; Mammalia; Primates; Hominidae
Description: non-protein coding lnc-SMAD7-4:2
Source: RNAcentral